RNAcentral lists this ribosomal RNA (1335 nucleotides) under metagenome. RNAcentral describes it as "bacterial LSU rRNA". It matches the Rfam family "Bacterial large subunit ribosomal RNA", at positions 1600 to 2925 of the family's 2925-position model. The record is from RNAcentral.
CCACACUGCCAAGAAAAACUUCUAGCGAGACGAAAUCCGCCCGUACCGUAAACCGACACAGGUAGGCGGGGAGAGAAUCCUAAGGUGCGCGGGAAAACCCUCGUUAAGGAACUCGGCAAAUUGCAUCCGUAACUUCGGGAGAAGGAUGGCCCUGAGUAGGCGAAGUGCAGAAACGCACGGAACAGAAAAGGGUGGCAGAAAAGAGGCCCAAGCAACUGUUUACCAAAAACACAGGUGCCUGCGAAAGCGAAAGCUGAAGUAUAGGUGCUGACGCCUGCCCGGUGCUGGAAGGUUAAGGAGAGAGGUUAGCGCAAGCGAAGCUUUGAACUGAAGCCCCAGUGAACGGCGGCCGUAACUAUAACGGUCCUAAGGUAGCGAAAUUCCUUGUCGGGUAAGUUCCGACCCGCAUGAAAGGCGUAAUGAUUUGGGCGCUGUCUCAACGAGGGGCCCGGUGAAAUUGAAAUACCUGUGAAGAUGCAGGUUACCCGCGACUGGACAGAAAGACCCCAUGGAGCUUUACUGCAGCUUGAGAUUGAAUCCCGGUGGCAGACGCACAGGAUAGGUGGGAGGCUUUGAGAUAGUGACUUUGGUUGCUAAGGAGCCGACGUUGGGAUACCACCCUUCUGUUGCUGGGAUUCUAACGCGAAGAUUAACAACCUUGCGGACCAUCUCAGGUAGGCGGUUUGACUGGGGCGGUCGCCUCCGAAAGAGUAACGGAGGCGCCCAAAGGUUCCCUCAGGCCGGACAGAAACCGGCCGAAGAGUGCAAAGGCAGAAGGGAGCUUGACUGCGAGACAGACAAGUCGAGCAGAGACGAAAGUCGGGCUUAGUGAUCCGGUGGUACUGCGUGGAAAGGCCAUCGUUCAACGGAUAAAAGCUACCCUGGGGAUAACAGGCUAAUCUCUCCCAAGAGUUCAUAUCGACGGGGAGGUUUGGCACCUCGAUGUCGGCUCAUCACAUCCUGGAGCUGGAGUAGGUUCCAAGGGUUGGGCUGUUCGCCCAUUAAAGUGGUACGCGAGCUGGGUUCAAAACGUCGUGAGACAGUUUGGUUCAUAUCCAUCGCGGGCGCAAGAAGUUUGAGGGAGGCUGCUCCUAGUACGAGAGGACCGGAGUGGACGGAUCAACGGUGUACCAGUUGUCACGCCAGUGGCACGGCUGGAAAGCCGCAUCCGGAAAGGAUAAACGCUGAAAGCAUCUAAGCGUGAAGCCCGUCCCAAGAUGAGACUUCUCAUCAGCAAUGAGUAAGACCCCUUAAAGACGAUGAGGUUGAUAGGCUGUGAGUGGAAGAGCCGCGAGGCUUGGAGCGACGCAGUACUAAUAGGUCGAGGUCUUAACU